UACAGCAUGGUAUAGUGGUUUGAAUAUUGGACUGUGACUCUGGAGACUAGGGUUCGAUUCCCCACUCAGUCA
Molecule: non-coding RNA, 72 nt
Organism: Phrynosoma platyrhinos (Desert horned lizard)
Lineage: Eukaryota; Metazoa; Chordata; Lepidosauria; Squamata; Phrynosomatidae
Source: the annotation of a GenBank genome assembly